AUGUCUUUGCAGGCAUUAUUACCUGGAGACGGUGAGGAGGAGCCAGCUUGGUCUUGGGAGCAUUGGAAACGAGCUCCGGAUACCAAAGACAAGUGGGGCACGGUGUAUGGUAGUGCCGCCGAGCGGGUGGUCAAUGAUUUUUGGGACUUCUUUACUUGCGCCGAGGGUAUGAAGGAUGAAGCUAAUGAGGUUGUGGAGGCGAUUGCCAAGAAGAUUGUCCAAGACAUGCCCUAUGAGGCGCGCGUUGAUGUUGUGGUGAAGUAUUUCGCGCAAGAACGCAAAAUGUUCUCAAAAAGUCUCUAG
This 303-nucleotide ribosomal RNA is filed under the name Triticum aestivum (bread wheat). Its description in RNAcentral is "partial small subunit ribosomal RNA". The record is from RNAcentral. Lineage: Eukaryota; Viridiplantae; Streptophyta; Magnoliopsida; Poales; Poaceae.